GAGCGCCGUAGCAAUACGGAGCGGCAGACGGGAGAGUAACACGUGGGAACGUGCCCUUCAGUUCGGAACAACCCAGGGAAACUUGGGCUAAUACCGGAUACGUCCGUAAGGAGAAAGAUUUAUCGCUGAAGGAUCGGCCCGCGUCUGAUUAGCUAGUUGGUGGGGUAAUGGCCCACCAAGGCGACGAUCAGUAGCUGGUCUGAGAGGAUGAUCAGCCUCACUGGGACUGAGACACGGCCCAGACUCCUACGGGAGGCAGCAGUGGGGAAUAUUGGACAAUGGGCGCAAGCCUGAUCCAGCCAUGCCGCGUGGGUGAUGAAGGCCCUAGGGUUGUAAAGCCCUUUCGGCGGGGAAGAUAAUGACGGUACCCGCAGAAGAAGCCCCGGCUAACUUCGUG
RNAcentral lists this ribosomal RNA (397 nucleotides) under uncultured bacterium. RNAcentral's name for it is "bacterial SSU rRNA". It matches the Rfam family "Bacterial small subunit ribosomal RNA", at positions 64 to 507 of the family's 1533-position model. The record is from RNAcentral.